Molecule: ribosomal RNA, 483 nt
Filed under: Curvularia inaequalis
Lineage: Eukaryota; Fungi; Ascomycota; Dothideomycetes; Pleosporales; Pleosporaceae
Description: eukaryotic LSU rRNA
Rfam family: 5.8S ribosomal RNA (bases 115-268)
Source: RNAcentral
UCUUUUGCGUACUUGUUGUUUCCUGGGCGGGUUUCGCCCGCCACCAGGACCACACCAUAAACCUUUUUUAUGCAGUUGCAAUCAGCGUCAGUACAACAAAUGUAAAUCAUUUACAACUUUCAACAACGGAUCUCUUGGUUCUGGCAUCGAUGAAGAACGCAGCGAAAUGCGAUACGUAGUGUGAAUUGCAGAAUUCAGUGAAUCAUCGAAUCUUUGAACGCACAUUGCGCCCUUUGGUAUUCCAAAGGGCAUGCCUGUUCGAGCGUCAUUUGUACCCUCAAGCUUUGCUUGGUGUUGGGCGUUUUUUUGUCUUUGGUUAUGCCAAAGACUCGCCUUAAAACGAUUGGCAGCCGGCCUCCUGGUUUCGCAGCGCAGCACAUUUUUGCGCUUGCAAUCAGCAAUAGAGGGCGGCACUCCAUCAAGACACUUUUUUUCACGUUUGACCUCGGAUCAGGUAGGGAUACCCGCUGAACUUAAGCAUAU